This is a long non-coding RNA of Bombus impatiens (common eastern bumble bee), 296 nucleotides long. RefSeq lists it as uncharacterized. The transcript has 3 exons. The record is from RefSeq and is a predicted model, not a curated record. NCBI's taxonomy places the organism in Eukaryota, Metazoa, Arthropoda, Insecta, Hymenoptera, Apidae.
UAUAAGCAGUUUUUUAAACAAAUCCAAGUAAUAUUUUUUCGCAUCCAUAAUUCGCUCUUAAGGGGCAAGAAAUUCAAUGAAAGUACAAAAUCUGUAAUCAUGUAUGACUUUUGCAAAAAGCUAUUGAUGUAGUUUAAUUUCUCUAAAAAGUACAUUUCUCUGAAAGCAGCUGGAUUUUUUUUAUCUAAAGUAGUUUCCAGGAUAUGAGGACUUUAUGCAGUUACACUGAAUAUUGAUGAUUUUUCUCACUCCUUUAAACUGAAUCAUCGCUACUAAAAAAAUGUCUCGCUUUUGUU